GAUGAACGCUGGCGGCGUGCCUAAUACAUGCAAGUCGAGCGAACAGACGAGGAGCUUGCUCCUCUGACGUUAGCGGCGGACGGGUGAGUAACACGUGGAUAACCUACCUAUAAGUCUGGGAUAACUUCGGGAAACCGGAGCUAAUACCGGAUAAUAUAUUGAACCGCAUGGUUCAAUAGUGAAAGACGGUUUUGCUGUCACUUAUAGAUGGAUCCGCGCCGCAUUAUCUAGUUGGUAAGGUAACGGCUUACCAAGGCAACGAUGCGUAGCCGACCUGAGAGGGUGAUCGGCCACACUGGAACUGAGACACGGUCCAGACUCCUACGGGAGGCAGCAGUAGGGAAUCUUCCGCAAUGGGCGAAAGCUUGACGGAGCAACGCCGCGUGAGUGAUGAAGGUCUUCGGAUCGUAAAACUCUGUUAUUAGGGAAGAACAAAUGUGUAAGUAACUAUGCACGUCUUGACGGUACCUAAUCAGAAAGCCACGGCUAACUACGUG
RNAcentral lists this ribosomal RNA (497 nucleotides) under uncultured bacterium. RNAcentral describes it as "partial 16S ribosomal RNA". It matches the Rfam family "Bacterial small subunit ribosomal RNA", at positions 28 to 507 of the family's 1533-position model. The record is from RNAcentral.